AACGAACGCUGGCGGCAUGCCUAACACAUGCAAGUCGAACGAGCUCUUCGGAGCUAGUGGCGCACGGGUGCGUAACGCGUGGGAAUCUGCCCUUGGGUUCGGGAUAACAGUUGGAAACGACUGCUAAUACCGGAUGAUGUCUUCGGACCAAAGAUUUAUCGCCCAGGGAUGAGCCCGCGUCGGAUUAGCUAGUUGGUGGGGUAAAAGCCUACCAAGGCGACGAUCCGUAGCUGGUCUGAGAGGAUGAUCAGCCACACUGGGACUGAGACACGGCCCAGACUCCUACGGGAGGCAGCAGUGGGGAAUAUUGGACAAUGGGCGAAAGCCUGAUCCAGCAAUGCCGCGUGAGUGAUGAAGGCCUUAGGGUUGUAAAGCUCUUUACCCGGGAUGAUAAUGACAGUACCGGGAGAAUAAGCCCCGGCUAACUCCGUGCCAGCAGCCGCAGUAAG
RNAcentral lists this ribosomal RNA (449 nucleotides) under uncultured bacterium. RNAcentral's name for it is "bacterial SSU rRNA". It matches the Rfam family "Bacterial small subunit ribosomal RNA", at positions 29 to 524 of the family's 1533-position model. The record is from RNAcentral.